AUCACCUCCCCCCUCCUCUGCCCUGCACUCCUCUCUCCCCAGUGCUCUGUGUGACAGCUCCCUCCCCUCCCCCCUCUCCUCCGUUCUCAGUGUAUAAACAUUAGCAAGGAGAGGGGAGAGAAUCAGCCUGUUUGCUGACUCUGCUAUGAUCUGAAUCAGCCGGCAUAUAGGCAGUGCUGCUCAGCCAAUCACUGCAGAACAGAGGGAGGACAGUGUGAAUAUUCAUCAGAUGGGAGGGGCUAAGGCUGAGCUCAGGGAGCUCUCUGCAGCACAGGGGUUUUCUGGGUAAUUGUCACGUCACGGCCCCUGGAUGCUGCUGAUAACAGCCUGAAUAGGGGGUCGAAAGUCAUGAAAACCUGGAACAGCUGAAUUUCCUGUCAGACAGAAGAAUGCAGAUAAAGCUGGUUUCUAAGCAGCAUUGAAUACUACUUGCAAAUCUUAUCAGACAAGUGCAGAUUUUGCCAGCAGGAACACAUAUGAGACAACUACAAAUGCCUUAUCAACAAUAACAGAAACUACAACUACAAAUGCCUUAUCAACAAUAACAGAAACUCUCUUUAGUAACACCCCAAAACCAAAUAAUCAGCAAAACCAGGGAUUAAUAAUUGGUCUUUCUGUUGGAAUUCCAUGUGUUCUAGUGGUGAUAAUUGCAUUAGCCGUAGCCAUUCUCUAUUUCUACAAGAAACAGAAAAAACCUCAGGUACAGAAAGAAGAACCAGAAUGCAGCAGUCCUGGAUCAUUUUAUGACACAACUAUCACUAUCCCAAGACCUCCAAAUAAUUAUUAUGAUGACGUUGCCAUUCCUUGUGGAAAUGAACCUGUGUAUGAGACAGUCCUGCGAACAUUUAGCUCUGUGUAUGAAAACGUUUUACCUAAAACA
Molecule: long non-coding RNA, 880 nt
Organism: Hyla sarda
Lineage: Eukaryota; Metazoa; Chordata; Amphibia; Anura; Hylidae
Exons: 8
Source: RefSeq, a predicted model, not a curated record